UUAAAUUGAGAGUUUGAUCCUGGCUCAGGAUGAACGCUGGCGGCGUGCUUAACACAUGCAAGUCGAGCGAUGAAGUUUCCUUCGGGAAACGGAUUAGCGGCGGACGGGUGAGUAACACGUGGGUAACCUGCCUCAUAGAGUGGAAUAGCCUUCCGAAAGGAAGAUUAAUACCGCAUAAUGUUGAAAGAUGGCAUCAUCAUUCAACCAAAGGAGCAAUCCGCUAUGAGAUGGACCCGCGGCGCAUUAGCUAGUUGGUGGGGUAACGGCCUACCAAGGCGACGAUGCGUAGCCGACCUGAGAGGGUGAUCGGCCACAUUGGGACUGAGACACGGCCCAGACUCCUACGGGAGGCAGCAGUGGGGA
RNAcentral lists this ribosomal RNA (363 nucleotides) under Clostridium perfringens. RNAcentral describes it as "bacterial SSU rRNA". It matches the Rfam family "Bacterial small subunit ribosomal RNA", at positions 1 to 360 of the family's 1533-position model. The record is from RNAcentral. Lineage: Bacteria; Bacillati; Bacillota; Clostridia; Eubacteriales; Clostridiaceae.